This 397-nucleotide ribosomal RNA is filed under the name uncultured bacterium. RNAcentral's name for it is "partial 16S ribosomal RNA". It matches the Rfam family "Bacterial small subunit ribosomal RNA", at positions 523 to 918 of the family's 1533-position model. The record is from RNAcentral.
AUACGUAGGUGGCAAGCGUUGUCCGGAAUUAUUGGGCGUAAAGCGCGCGCAGGCGGUCCUUUAAGUCUGAUGUGAAAGCCCACGGCUCAACCGUGGAGGGUCAUUGGAAACUGGGGGACUUGAGUGCAGAAGAGGAAAGUGGAAUUCCAAGUGUAGCGGUGAAAUGCGUAGAGAUUUGGAGGAACACCAGUGGCGAAGGCGACUUUCUGGUCUGUAACUGACGCUGAGGCGCGAAAGCGUGGGGAGCAAACAGGAUUAGAUACCCUGGUAGUCCACGCCGUAAACGAUGAGUGCUAAGUGUUAGGGGGUUUCCGCCCCUUAGUGCUGCAGCUAACGCAUUAAGCACUCCGCCUGGGUAGUACGGUCGCAAGACUGAAACUCAAAGGAAUUGACGGGG